This 427-nucleotide ribosomal RNA is filed under the name uncultured bacterium. RNAcentral describes it as "bacterial SSU rRNA". It matches the Rfam family "Bacterial small subunit ribosomal RNA", at positions 355 to 774 of the family's 1533-position model. The record is from RNAcentral.
UGGGGAAUUUUGGACAAUGGGCGAAAGCCUGAUCCAGCAAUGCCGCGUGAGUGAAGAAGGCCUUCGGGUUGUAAAGCUCUUUUGUCAGGGGAGAAACGGUGAAAGCUAAUAUCUUUUGCUAAUGACGGUACCUGAAGAAUAAGCACCGGCUAACUCCGUGCCAGCAGCCGCGGUAAUACGUAGGGUGCAAGCGUUAAUCGGAAUUACUGGGCGUAAAGCGUGCGCAGGCGGUUUUGUAAGUCUGAUGUGAAAUCCCCGGGCUCAACCUGGGAAUUGCAUUGGAGACUGCGAAGCUAGAAUCUGGCAGAGGGAGGUAGAAUUCCGCGUGUAGCGGUGAGAUGCGUAGAUAUGCGGAGGAACACCAGUGGCGAAGGCGGCUCCCUGGAUAAAGAUUGACGCUGAUGCGCGAAAGCGUGGGGAGCAAACA